RNAcentral lists this long non-coding RNA (528 nucleotides) under Dermacentor andersoni. RNAcentral's name for it is "uncharacterized LOC126521929". Lineage: Eukaryota; Metazoa; Arthropoda; Arachnida; Ixodida; Ixodidae. The record is from RNAcentral.
UACAGCUCCCGUCCGAGCUGCCUUUGUUCUGCCGAGCUGCCUGCCCGCGCUCUCGUGAAAAGUCUGGUACUGGGGCUUCGAAUUGUAGUGUUUGGAAGACUGUUGAAGGUUGUGCUUUUGUGGAGCUGGAGUUCAUCGGAAGUUCUACAGUGCUUGCGCCAGAGAAACGUCGGUGCCUCUGUACCUGUUAGACGAAGGAGCGUUUGCCAAGUCUUGAAAGGUAGACAUCGGUGACGGUGUAUACGUUGAAAAGGGCCUGCUGAAGAGGCUGUGCCUGGAUGCUUACAACUCAGGCUUUCACUUCACGGAGGGCCUCCUUAAAGCUCCUCUUUCAAUAGAAGACGUUGAAGGGAGGUCCUUCUUUGGGCGGCUGUCAAAUGCCUUCCACAGAAGGAUCCGUUGGAUUCCAAGAAGGUCAACGCCAUAGUAGACUACACAACGCAACAUUUCAGCCUACUUCCAGGGCAGCUGGAGAACUCAUCCUCCUUACUAGCCCGGGGAUAUUAAAUGGAUGUGUUCAAGCACAAA